This 444-nucleotide ribosomal RNA is filed under the name Triticum aestivum (bread wheat). Its description in RNAcentral is "partial small subunit ribosomal RNA". The record is from RNAcentral. Lineage: Eukaryota; Viridiplantae; Streptophyta; Magnoliopsida; Poales; Poaceae.
AUGAAUUGGAUACUUCAAGAGAAGAGAAGAGAAUUGUCACAUAAGGAGAGGCAUGGUGUUUACUUUGCUUUGCUGGUAAUCAAGCUCAGAGAUGGGUCUAUUCAACCAGACGACAAGCUGCUAGUCUCAAACCGGUUGGACAUAAGUGUACGAUCUGUUGAAAGAAUCUGGGAACAGGCUAAAAAGCAAAUUGCCGAUGGUAAAGAAGUAAAUGUCUCAAGCAAGAAGCCAGGAAGGUCUGGCCGAAAGAGAAAGGAGCUGGAUCUAGAGAGGACCCCAACAAUCCCACUGAAUAAAAGAAGAACAAUUCGAUCUCUGGCACGGUCUCUAGGUGUGGCCCGAUCGACCCUACAUAAGAGGUUCCAGUUGAAUGAGCUCAACCGCAUCACAAGCACCGUGAAGCCUCACCUCAAGUGUGAUGCCCCCGAUUUGAUCGUACACUAA